This 446-nucleotide ribosomal RNA is filed under the name uncultured bacterium. Its description in RNAcentral is "partial 16S ribosomal RNA". It matches the Rfam family "Bacterial small subunit ribosomal RNA", at positions 338 to 795 of the family's 1533-position model. The record is from RNAcentral.
ACUACGGGUGGCAGCAGUCGAGAAUCAUUCACAAUGGGGGAAACCCUGAUGGUGCGACGCCGCGUGGGGGAAUGAAGGUCUUCGGAUUGUAAACCCCUGUCAUGUGGGAGCAAAUUAAAAAGAUAGUACCACAAGAGGAAGAGACGGCUAACUCUGUGCCAGCAGCCGCGGUAAUACAGAGGUCUCAAGCGUUGUUCGGAAUCACUGGGCGUAAAGCGUGCGUAGGCUGUUUCGUAAGUCGUGUGUGAAAGGAGCGGUGUCAACCCGCGGACGGCACAUGAUACUGCGAGACUAGAGUAAUGGAGGGGGAACCGGAAUUCUCGGUGUAGCAGUGAAAUGCGUAGAUAUCGAGAGGAACACUCGUGGCGAAGGCGGGUUCCUGGACAUUAACUGACGCUGAGGCACGAAGGCCAGGGGAGCGAAAGGGAUCAGAUACCCUGGUAGUC